AAGUAGUUAUAGCGUAUUCAAAUGACAAAAAGCAUACAUAUAAAUGAUAACACGAAUACAAGGCUUCAAAGGACUAAUUGACAACCUAAUAAGAAUGUACUAGCUUGCUAAUUAGUUCUCGAGUCAAUUAGAAGAAACUAAGAAUCAAUAAUUAGAAACUAGAAUAUCCAAAUUGAGCUUAAUUAAUGAUGUGAACAGUGAUCAAGGUGAUGUGACAUCAUGAAAUUGGUCACGGGUCCAUACAUUUUGUUCAAAACUUGAAGCCUUAAUCUUCACAAUUUUGUAAUGGAGGACUUUGCUUUUGGAGGGAAAGUAAAGUCUUAUAACUUUUCAACUUUUUCCAACUCAAAAAGAUGAGGCUUGACUUUACUAGUUCCACAAGACAAGGAUACUUGUUUUAAGGAAAAGUGGUUGUUAAGUUGUCUAAAGUACUUAUAUUAAAAUAAAAGGAAUCAUUCUUCUUCUGCACAAGAUUGAAGUGGCUCCACAACAAUAAUAUAAAACUGAUUAAUGAUUUUGCUUAAGUAGUGCCUUAAACAAAGAAGAAGUAGUCAGUUUAGCUUCACUUAAUAAUCUUUGAAGGUUUAGCAUUCUGAUCAGAAACACUUUUUUCUUUCUUUACUUCAACAGUUGUUCAAUGGACAUACUUAAUAAUGCUGUAGGUGGCUUUGUUAUUGAGGUGGGAAAGUUUGUAUCUAAAUGCAUUUAUAAGAAAGCGUCUUAGCCGCUGCAAUGAUUUCUUGCAUAGAUUCCCAUUCUUUCGCCAGCUCGUGAACAAUUUCGAUCCACUUGACAACAUCUGGUUUUGGUUUAUAGCCUUCUUCCUCAGCUCCUUCCACCUUUGCUUUGAUCUCAUCUCUAAACUUUGUUAGCUUCUCCAUUUCCUUUCUCAGAUUUUCAAUUUUUUAUGAGAAAUGGAUGAUAUUUUCAAUCUUAGGAUAGAUGCAUUUAUAUACAAACUUUCCCACCUCGACAACAAAGCAACCUGCAGCAUUAAUAAGUAUGUCCAUUGAAAAACUGUUGAAGUAAAGAAAGAAAAAACAACUGUUUCUGAU
This 1055-nucleotide long non-coding RNA is filed under the name Capsicum annuum. RNAcentral describes it as "long non-coding RNA (CANN_LNC005671)". Lineage: Eukaryota; Viridiplantae; Streptophyta; Magnoliopsida; Solanales; Solanaceae. The record is from RNAcentral.